This is a small nuclear RNA of Callorhinus ursinus (northern fur seal), 107 nucleotides long. Lineage: Eukaryota; Metazoa; Chordata; Mammalia; Carnivora; Otariidae. The record is from RefSeq and is a predicted model, not a curated record.
GUGCUCGCUUUGGCAGCAUAUUUGCUAGAACUGGAACGAUACAGAGAAGACUAGCACAGCCCCUGGGUGAGGAUCCCAUGCAGAAGACUGAUGGAACCUGGACAGAA